Molecule: long non-coding RNA, 2352 nt
Organism: Brassica napus (rape)
Lineage: Eukaryota; Viridiplantae; Streptophyta; Magnoliopsida; Brassicales; Brassicaceae
Exons: 2
Source: RefSeq, a predicted model, not a curated record
CACCAUUGUUGAUCCGACCAAGCUUCUCUUCCGUCUGCAACACCUCGACUUGAUUCUGACGGCGAGGCUCGAUCCCGACGGCGACGAAGAGCACGGCCACGCGGUGGAGCUGAUCAGGGCGAUUUCAGAGCUUCCACGGUGGAUUGCGUGGAGGAGAGCUCCGACUUGGAGCGUGCUGGAGAUUGACGAAGAAGGAGAAUCAUGGAGGAGGCCCGUUACCAACCGUAAUACUUUCAGUGUCGAACAGCGUGUUUAUUAUCAGAAAGAGACAAGAAAACCGGCUACGGGGAAAGAUAAAUAGUUUCCAAUACGUACGUGAGACUACUACUGUAAUUUCAACCAUGUCGAUCACAAGGUUCGCAAAUUAAUUAUAAAAAAGCACACUUUACCAAUUUCGACACUGAAUUUGUAUAUUCACCUAAAUAGGACUUCUUUUAAUAAGAUAGAUAGGAUUUUAUGUAUAUUAUUAGUAAUAUACUAAUUCAUAAUGUUAUAGCUUUAAUUUGAAAACGUGACCUUGUGGAGCCCACUCAAAUAAGUAAAGAUCACUCAAAUAAGUAAAGAUCACUCAAAUAGUCCAUGUCACUAUCAUGACAUCGUCCAUGUGGAACUCGUGCUUACAAAAAUUAUUUAAAACUAGGGGCUUUUCCGGGCUACGUCCGGAUUUUUUCCUAUAAUAUUAGUUUAAUUUUUAUAUUUAUAUAUUUUAAAAACGAACAAAUAUAAUAUACACUGAAACUUGUUAUAGAAUUAUAAACAUAAAUGCAAAUUUAAAAUUAUUUGAAAUAAUUUGUUGUGUUUUAUUGGAGUUUUAUGUAGGAUAUUAGAAAGAUUAAUAAAAAUUUAACUAAAUUAUAAGUUAAGAUCUAUAUAUAUAUAUAUAUAUAUUCUUUAUCUUGGUUAUUUAUUUUUAUAUAAAACAAUUGUAUUUUUUCCUAUAAUAUUAGUUUAAUUUUUAUAUUUAUAUUUUAAAAACGAACAAAUAUAAUAUACACUGAAACUUGUUAUAGAAUUAUAAACAUAAAUGUAAAUUUAAAAUUAUUUGAAAUAAUUUGUUGUGUUUUAUUGGAGUUUUAUGUAGGAUAUUAGAAAGAUUAAUAAAAAUUUAACUAAAUUAUAAGUUAAGAUCUAUAUAUAUAUAUAUAUAUAUAUUUUCUUUAUCUUGGUUAUUUAUUUUUAUAUAAAACAAUUGUAAAGCUUAUAAUUAGUACUGUAUAAAUUUUGAUUGGUUUUAAAAUUAUUAAGUUUCAUUUAUGUACUUGUAUUUAAAAGAAAGUACCACCGACUUGUAUACCGAUUCUUUAUUUGUUGUCUUCAAUUUAUCGUUUUAACCAAAAUAAUUUUGUCAACCUUUUAACCAAAACUUAAAUUUAACAAAAACGGUUUAAGAAUUCUAACACCUACGGUUUGAUCUACAAUCUGAGUUGCAAACCUACAAACUGCAUUAUUAUUAUUCUCGCAUUUGCCUCACUUCUUCUUUUGUGUUUCAUGGCCUUUUUUUUAGGUUCCAUGACCUUUGUCUAUGGUGCUUUGAUAGUAUUAUGUACAAACUCAAUAUUAAAUUCUACUUUAGUUAUACACAUUCUAAGUUAUUAUCCAGGCUACACAUGUUUAUAUAAACAAUUUGUUUUAUAUUUAUAAUAAUUUUAAAAUUAUCAAAAUAGAAGAUCGUGUUUAAAAUUGUAACCUUUUAAUUAACUGCCAUUUUCUAUUUUUGGAUUUAUAUAUACAUAAAUUAUGUUUUAAAUGUACAUUUCAUAUAUAAUACACAUUAUGUUAAUAUUUUUUUGUAUACGUAAUCUUAUGAUAUAAUAUUUUAUAAUCACAUUUAAUAUGAGUAACAUAUACUAAUUAUUGAAUAAAAUUAAAUUGCAUCUUUUUCCCCAAAAAAAUUCACUGUUUAAAUAAAAUAUGUUCUAUAAAUAUUGAAGCUAACCUAGGGUACAUGAAGCUAAGCUGAUCACCACCGUGCUUGUAUUCCUCCAACAUCUGAGGAUGAUACUCCAGUAUCUAAUGUUUUUUUUCCCCAAAGAUAAGUGACUGUUAAAACCAUUAAAGAGCAGAGAAAAGCAAGAUGUGUAGAAGAAGAAAUGCUUUUUGUGUUACCUCUCAGUAGAUUAAUUCUCUGACAUCAUCAUUUGUUAACUUCUUUCUCUCGAAAUCAAACUCAAGCUUUGAGAUUGGCUGUGUUGAUGGUUCACGCUCUGAGUUUGACAAACCACUGAAGUAUGGAUCAGAUAGUGCCUGAAUAAGCAAGAUCAGAACAAUGAAAGAUAAGAGUUUAAGUCUGUGUAAGAAAAUGGGAAAGAAAAACAAAAAGGUACAUCUUCAGAAGAUGCACGGUCUUUGGGU